AAAUUGAAGAGUUUGAUCAUGGCUCAGAUUGAACGCUGGCGGCAGGCCUAACACAUGCAAGUCGAACGGUAGCACAGAGAGCUUGCUCUCGGGUGACGAGUGGCGGACGGGUGAGUAAUGUCUGGGAAACUGCCUGAUGGAGGGGGAUAACUACUGGAAACGGUGGCUAAUACCGCAUAACGUCGCAAGACCAAAGAGGGGGACCUUCGGGCCUCUUGCCAUCAGAUGUGCCCAGAUGGGAUUAGCUUGUUGGUGAGGUA
This 260-nucleotide ribosomal RNA is filed under the name Salmonella enterica. RNAcentral describes it as "partial 16S ribosomal RNA". It matches the Rfam family "Bacterial small subunit ribosomal RNA", at positions 1 to 259 of the family's 1533-position model. Lineage: Bacteria; Pseudomonadati; Pseudomonadota; Gammaproteobacteria; Enterobacterales; Enterobacteriaceae. The record is from RNAcentral. RNAcentral also lists the same sequence under 1 other name.